GAUGAACGCUGGCGGCGUGCUUAACACAUGCAAGUCGAACGAAGCACUUUAGACAGAUUUCUUCGGAUUGAAGACUUUAGUGACUGAGUGGCGGACGGGUGAGUAACGCGUGGGUAACCUGCCUCAUAGAGGGGGACAACAGUUGGAAACGACUGCUAAUACCGCAUAGUAAAGAGAAAUCGCAUGAUUUUUCUUUGAAAGAUUUAUCACUAUGAGAUGGACCCGCGUCUGAUUAGCUAGUUGGUGAGGUAACGGCCCACCAAGGCGACGAUCAGUAGCCGGCUUGAGAGAGCGAUCGGCCACAUUGGGACUGAGACACGGCCCAAACUCCUACGGGAGGCAGCAGUGGGGAAUAUUGCACAAUGGGGGAAACCCUGAUGCAGCGACGCCGCGUGAGUGAAGAAGUAUUUCGGUAUGUAAAGCUCUAUCAGCAGGGAAGAUAAUGACGGUACCUGACUAAGAAGCCCCGGCUAACUACGUG
RNAcentral lists this ribosomal RNA (481 nucleotides) under uncultured organism. Its description in RNAcentral is "bacterial SSU rRNA". It matches the Rfam family "Bacterial small subunit ribosomal RNA", at positions 28 to 507 of the family's 1533-position model. The record is from RNAcentral.